AACGAACGCUGGCGGCAUGCCUAACACAUGCAAGUCGAACGAGACCGUCGGGUCGAGUGUCGAACGGGUGCGUAACGCGGGGUAACCUGCCCUUAAGUUCGGAAUAACUCCCGGAAAGGGGUGCUAAUACCGGAUAAUUUCUUCGGACCAAAGAUUUAUCGCCUUUGGAUGGGCGCGCGUUGGAUGAGCGAGGUGGUAGGGUAAAAGCCUACCAAGGCGACGAUCCAUAGCUGGUCUGAGAGGAUGAUCAGCCACACUGGGACUGAGACACGGCCCAGACUCCUACGGGAGGCAGCAGUAGGGAAUAUUGGACACUGGGCGAAAGCCUGAUCCAGCCAUGCCGCGUGAGUGAUGAAGGCCUUAGGGUUGUAAAGCUCUUUUACCCGGGAUGAUAAUGACAGUACCGGGAGAAUAAGCUCCGGCUAACUCCGUG
RNAcentral lists this ribosomal RNA (433 nucleotides) under uncultured bacterium. RNAcentral describes it as "partial 16S ribosomal RNA". It matches the Rfam family "Bacterial small subunit ribosomal RNA", at positions 29 to 507 of the family's 1533-position model. The record is from RNAcentral.